CGUGCCCACUACUCUAUUCAUUUCCCUCUCCCUCCACCGCCCCCACCCACUCUCCUCGCUGCGGGACAGAAGAGAGAAGUGACCAAGCGCCGGCGACGAGGCGGGCAUGCGUCGGUGACGAGGCGGGCGGCGACGGGGAGAAGUUUCACCGGUGGUGCAGGGGCCGGAUCUGGCCGAAAUCGGGCCGAAGGCGGGGGAGAGGCAGAUGCUCGCCGGACGAGCUCAGUGUCAGCACCAGCACGCUCGUCGGGGAGUGCGGCGAGCAGCAGCAGGCUCGAUGGAGAAGGGCGGCGUGCAGGGGAGAGGCGGAGGCUCACCACCAGCACGCUCUCCGGAGAGUUCGGCGAGCAGCAACCCACCACCAGCAGGCUCGCUGGGUGGCGCUCCGGAUCCUGCGUUGGCGCGGCGAGGCCUCCUCCCCUCGUCCCAGCCGUAGGAGGACACACAGUUCAAGUCUUCAUGGCAAGUUUUUGUUGCACUGCACUGUGAGGCUGUUUGCUGCAUCUGAUAUUUUCUUCAAGUCUAAUCUCAUUGCUGUUAUAAAGGAAGAUGCCUGCUACGACCGUGUUCGUAGUCUCGUUGAUCAGCUCCGGCCAUGGCUCCAGUGAAAUAACGUGCUCUGCUAAUUCUGCAUUUUUUGACUAAAAAGCAUAUACUGUGUGUGACUCAUAUUUUGUGGGGUUGCAGAUUCUCAGUGAGGAAGCCAGCAGGAAGUAUAUCACUCUGCUUUUGUGAAUGCAGUGAGCCGUUGUGCCAUUUCCUGGCCGCCGAGCCUUCAGAUUCGGCGCUUCGACGAAAGAACGGGGGGACUCGCCCAUCUACUUCGCCAACUCCGGUAACACGCGCGAGAGGAUCACCACGAACGGACCAGUGCCAAGGGCAAGACCGGCGUGCAGUACAUCGUCCUUGACAUGGGUGCAGCCAUCAGCAGCAUCGUCAGGAGGGGCAUGCUGGACGAGCUCAAGAAGACCCUGGACAGGAGGGGCAUUCAGCAAACGUGGGAGAAAUUUAUAUUCAGUUAGCAGAUGGCAAUUUAUAUUCAGAUGAUAUGGCUACUUCAUAUCAGGGAGAAAUUUUAGAGUGAAGAGCAUAUUAAGUUACCAUCAGUUUUUUUGACAUACCAAAUUGAUGCUGGAACUGUAUGCACUGGUAAUGUUAAUUGCCAUGGCAAAAAUACUUUUUAAUAAAGUCGCCAUCAGUUUUUUAUUCA
This is a long non-coding RNA of Aegilops tauschii subsp. strangulata, 1210 nucleotides long. RefSeq lists it as uncharacterized. The record is from RefSeq and is a predicted model, not a curated record. NCBI's taxonomy places the organism in Eukaryota, Viridiplantae, Streptophyta, Magnoliopsida, Poales, Poaceae.